Non-coding RNA from Chlorocebus sabaeus (green monkey), 3127 nucleotides. Lineage: Eukaryota; Metazoa; Chordata; Mammalia; Primates; Cercopithecidae. The record is from RefSeq and is a predicted model, not a curated record.
CACACGGACUGACUCCCACAAGCUGUCCCGCUUCAGGUGUCCUGGCUCGGGCUUUCAGGGAAGGGAGAGCCCCUAACGUCGUGCCACCUCCCAAAACUUCUCCCCCUGCCGUUGGGCUAUGGUAAAGGGGAAAGGAUGCAGGAUCUUUAGAGAGGUUCCUGGUUCCCUUCACGCCCCCACCCCCAACCUCAGCUCUGUCUGGGUGGAACGAAUUUCUGCUAAUGAACUAAACAAACAGGUCCCUUAAUCUUAUCAUGGAGCUGACCCAGAGACUGACACAGAUAUCCAAAGUAUCAUAAUUGGCAGGUAAGAGCUGGAACUAACUGCCAUUUGUCUGGAGUCAGAAGUUGGUUCCCAAGUGCAUUUGGGAAUAAAGCUCUUGGGGGGAAACUGCCGUAUAGUGUAAUUGGCCAGGAAGCUUGGCCCUUGGCCUCCUGUUGGCAUUUCCAGAGAUAAAAGGAAAUCUGCCUUGGGGAAGAAAACGCUAAACUCCGCUUAGUCCCAUUUUAAAUUUAAAAGAUUCGCAUAAUUUUUUUCAUUUUCUCAUGAAAAUGCUAUUUUUCAACAAAUGCUAUUUUAUUAGAAAAUAUUGACUUCUAAAAUUGAAAAUUUUCCAAGCAGAAAUUGCUUCGUCUGUAGAUGAAAUGAGAUGCUCCUUUCCGUAAUAUACUUUGAACCAUUCCAAAAAUUCCACUUUAAUACAAUCACAUAUAUUUGUACUGGUGAUAGAUUCACAAGGAUUAUCUCAAAAAAUGUUUUAAAGUAUAAUAUAAAUGGCAGUAGUCCUAGAGACAUAUAAACAAGUCUUAAAGCAAUGAAGAACACAACCAGUGAGAUUAUGCCUGGUUUUAUACAUUCUUCUAAAGUGCUGGGAAGUGUCCAAUUACCUUGAAUGACAGUAUUUGUUCGGGAAAUAAUUUGUAGGAUAAACAAAUCACCAGUGGAAAAGUUGAAGAAAAUUUUAAGCCAUUUAUUCAGAUAGGUAUUAAGAGUUAAGCAAAAAUAAAUAUAAUUUACUGUGAAAAUUGAAUAAAAUUCUAAAUUAGGGCCCAAAUCAUUCUUUUGCUUUAUGCUGUACUUGAGAAAUGUGUGCAAGCCGCAUUAAGCACUCACUUAUCUAGGCAGAGACUAUGUUUUCCACUUAUUUUAUAGCCCAGUGGUGCUCACAACAGCACUAGGCAACUAUGGACACUCUAUGAAUACUGGUAGUUUGAAAUUUUGAUUUACAGGUCAGAAUUAAAACUACAUCCUGGUGACUUUAUAGCUGAGGCAAAGUGGAGCUCAAGUGUUACCUUCCCAGUAAGUAAAUCAUGUAAGUCAAGGACAACUACUGGUCAGAUUUUACAAUAUUUUUAUGAAUAUUUAAAAGUUUGGAGUUUUUCAUUGAUAAUUUGUUUAAUGUGUUUCUCAGUAUUAAAUACACAUUUUGCUAAAAUUAACAUGGUGCCAAGAAAUGAAUAUUUCGAAAAGGGUCCUCUCUUCUAGAAUGAAGCAUCAUGCUGGUGACUAAUUUAACUAACAUCGUCCAGGAAAUUGCUAUUGUCCAGGAAGAAAAGAUUUAAGCUGAGUGUCGGCCACUGGGCUUCUGACACCAUCCUGCACAAGAAAUUGGUAAGUUCUGCUGUGUUAUUUCCUAGCUUGGUGGUCUCAGUUGCAUCCCAGCUAACUUACAGCCUAAAGUGACAGGCCCACCUCCCAUUUAUUAAUUCCUUGGUCUUCAAAAUAUAUCAUCUCAUGUUUCCUCAGUUAUUUAUUGAACAACCACUACGUGUCCGUGUUGGAAUAUAUGAAUGAAAAAUCAAAUACAAUUUUUUUUUACUUUGUGGAGCUUACAUUCUGGAGAAGAAGACAGAAGUUAGAAAAUACUACGUAAGUAAAUUAUAAUGUCUAUUAGAAGGUAGUCAGUGCAACAGAGAAAAAUAAAGCAGGGUGGGCUGGGUGGUCCACAAGCUUAAAUACAAGGGUGCUCAGUAAAAAUAUCACUGAGAAUGCUAACCCUGAAUAAAUGAUUAAAGGAGUUGAGGGAGCAGGCAAGCCAUGCAAAUAUCUGGGAAGAUGGUCCCAGGAAGUGGAAAAGCAGGUGUAAGUGGCCCUUAAAUAUGAUUGCACCUGGCAAGGUCUGGGAACAUUAAUGAAGCCUUGGGAAUGGGACACAGUGAAGGGAGAGGGUUAAUGAGGGUAGGCUUAGAAGACAGAUCAUUGGGUGGGGCCAAGUAAAGGAUCUGGGAUUUUACUCCAAAUGACAGCACAGGACACAAGACACAGAGGGAGUGACAUGAUCUUCUGACUUUUUAAUGGAUCACUCUGGCUGCCAUGUUGAAAAUUAUAGAAGCAGAGGAGGAAGCAGGGAGAUCUGUUAUUAGGCUAUUGCAAGAAUCUAGGUAAGAGAUGAUGGCUUGGACAGGGUGAUAGCAAGAAAGAUAAUGAGAAUUCGUAGCAAUUUUGAAUUGCUUUGAAUUUAGAGCCAACAAUGAGUGGCUUGAAAGAAAAGAGGGAGUCAAGAUUAACUCCAAGCAUUUGGUCCUAGCAACCAGAAGGAUGAAGUUGCUAUUAAUUGAAAUGAGAGAGAGUAUGGGUGGAGCAAAUUUUGGUGGAAGAAUCAAGUUCAGGCUUAAAUGGGUUAAGACUGGAAUGCCUAUUAAGUUAAAUUUUAAAAAUAAUUUAUUUAAAGCUCUUAGAAUAGUUCCUGGCUUUUCGUAAGUGCCAUACAAAUAUUUGUGGUGGUGGUGAUUAUCAUUAUUAAUGUUUGCCAACCAAAAUGAGAUGUUGAAUAGACAAUCAACUACCAUGAUUGUGGUGGUAGUUGCAAAACUAUAUUUUGUUAUAAUCCAUUUGUACACUCAAAAAUUGGUGAAUUUUAUUGUACGUAAACAAAACCUUAAAAAACUUUUAAAAAACAAAGAACUCAGUCUAAUAUUUUAAUAGGAGAGUAUGGAAAUUUCCCAUCUGAGAAUAAACAGCUUCAGAAGUGUCACCAUUUUGUAUACCCAUUGAAAUAACUGACCGAAAUAAAGAUCACCAAUAGAUACUAAAGCCAUUAAGUAAAUGUUUCAUGCAGAAUAUUGAGGUAGGUGAAUAGGGUCUGGAGGCAGGGAACCUAAGGCCAAUUCACGCUGACUUCCUAAAG